This 690-nucleotide ribosomal RNA is filed under the name Sphingobacteriaceae bacterium G1_3. RNAcentral describes it as "bacterial SSU rRNA". It matches the Rfam family "Bacterial small subunit ribosomal RNA", at positions 57 to 747 of the family's 1533-position model. The record is from RNAcentral. Lineage: Bacteria; Pseudomonadati; Bacteroidota; Sphingobacteriia; Sphingobacteriales; Sphingobacteriaceae.
GCAGUCGAGGGGUAUGGGUUGCUUGCAACCCAGAGACCGGCGCACGGGUGCGUAACGCGUAUGCAACCUACCUUGAUCAGGGGGAUAGCCCGGAGAAAUCCGGAUUAACACCGCAUAACAUUGUGAUAUGGCAUCAUAUUAUAAUCAAAUAUUUAUAGGAUCGAGAUGGGCAUGCGUGACAUUAGUUAGUUGGUGAGGUAACGGCUCACCAAGACUGUGAUGUCUAGGGGAUCUGAGAGGAUGACCCCCCACACUGGUACUGAGACACGGACCAGACUCCUACGGGAGGCAGCAGUAAGGAAUAUUGGUCAAUGGGCGCAAGCCUGAACCAGCCAUGCCGCGUGCAGGAAGACGGCCCUACGGGUUGUAAACUGCUUUUGUACCGGAAUAAACCUGCUCUCGUGAGAGCAGCUGAACGUACGGUAAGAAUAAGGAUCGGCUAACUCCGUGCCAGCAGCCGCGGUAAUACGGAGGAUCCAAGCGUUAUCCGGAUUUAUUGGGUUUAAAGGGUGCGUAGGCGGCUUUUUAAGUCAGGGGUGAAAACUUGCGGCUCAACCGUAAGCUUGCCUUUGAUACUGAGGAGCUUGAAUACACUUGAGGUAGGCGGAAUGUGACAAGUAGCGGUGAAAUGCAUAGAUAUGUCACAGAACACCAAUUGCGAAGGCAGCUUACUAAAGUGAGAUUGACGCU